Sciurus carolinensis (gray squirrel) is the source of this 2829-nucleotide long non-coding RNA. RefSeq lists it as uncharacterized. Lineage: Eukaryota; Metazoa; Chordata; Mammalia; Rodentia; Sciuridae. The transcript has 3 exons. The record is from RefSeq and is a predicted model, not a curated record.
GUGGGCAUAAAACCUGAUCUUCCCACAUUUCCCAUCAAGAUGUUCUAUUGAGUAUGGGCUCUGAUCACAGUCUCUGGCCAUUGUGAUCACACCUGAACAGAGACGGUGGCUGCCUUCUCAACAGUUGCCCAGAGAUCUGAGUCCAUGAUUAAGCCAGCCCCAUUGCUCUGGGCCUGAGAUAAGCAGAACAAAAUGGUGGAAGGAUGUGAGGCCAGGAAAGUGCUCAAGUCAUGGCAGCCAGGAAGCAGAGGAAGACAAGAAGGGCUAGGCAUGCAUAUAGUUCUGAAGACCACACACCCAGUGACCUACUUCCUCCAGUCAUGCCCCAUCUUCCCAUGGUUACCAACCAGUUGUCCGUUCAAAUUAUUGAUCCAUUAAGUGAAUUAAUCCACUGGGAAGUGGCAGCCCUAGUCAUUGCUUAAAAGCUCCAUCUCUAAGCAUGGCUGCAUUGAGGGUCAUGUUUUCAAACAUGAGUUGGGGGAGGGCAUCCCAAAUCCAAACCAUAACAGCUGUUGAUAAUCUACUUUUGGCAAGUAAACUCUCACCAGAUAGAAGCCAUUCUCCAAGCUUAGUCCUUAUUCAUGCCUGAUUAAUUUAACUGCAGUUACCAUUAAACUUAUUUUUUCAUAAUAAAAGACCUUAACUGGAACUUAGCAAAGUCCUCAUUGGCACCUGCCUUUAUAACCAUAUCACCCUUACCUGAAAGCCUCUUCUUGAAACUCUAUAGCAUUGGAAAAUUUACUGUGCUACAAAUUUUUUUUUCUUUAAUUAAGUCACAGUCUCUCCAAUGUUCGGUGUAAGUCUAUGAAAGUCAUCUUUAGUCAAAUUAUGAUUUUCUAAGCAUACCACUUAUUCUAGGUCAGUUCAGAUGUGCGUUCAAACUGAUUCUGUCAAGAAGGAUUCAAAGAUUGACGUUUAGUUCUUAUUAACCAGAAAGGCAACUGACAUCUUCUUUUCCACAAGGCUUGGAGAUGAAAGGGGCCCAGCAACAUUCAGUAAUGCUUGGUUGUGUCAUUAGUGUUUCUCUCAUUAUCAGUGCAAAGGGGAAAGUGAAUAUGUUGUAUUUAUUGCACCCUUGUCUAUGUCUUUGACCUGUCCUGGGAAUGCCAAUCACCCAGUCACUCUUUGUUUUGUAAAAAGAAAUCCAAGAUACAAGAAGAAAGAGGAAGAAUUUCACCUAAGAAUGAUGGCCCAGAUUAGUCUGUAGGCAAAGUGAGCUAGCAGAAUUAGACCUUUCUCUGUUUCCUGAUCGGAUCUCCUGGUGUAUAUUGUUUGUAUGAGAAGGUUAUCUAUAUUACAUGAUUUAAAAGAUUCCAAAUGCCUUAAAUUACCUGAAUAUUGACUUUCUUAUGAUCAAUAUUGUCCUCUCCCAGUGAUCUUCAAAAGGCAAAUAUGCCCAGGUGUACCAUAUUAAACCCCCAACUUUUUAAAAGGUAAAUUCCCUGAGGAAAAAGGGAGGAAAGGAAAGAAAGAAGAAACACCCUGGAAAAGGUUCAACUUCAGAGAUCAGGUAGAAGAGUUGUAGCAGAGGGGAAAGGAUGCUAUGAGCAGAGAGAAAUUUCCAGAAAGGUAAGGCAGGAAACGGAGGAGAUGGGAAACCACUCUAUGGUUUCACCUCUGGGCUGCCCCCUGGAUAGAAUCUGGAAUUGUGGGUUAUUUUCAAGAGCCAGAUCUGCCACAUACAUAUCUGAAUAAUUUUGUGCCUGUGGCUGAUGUGACUUCUCAUAGUCUCUGAUGGCCCUGUCAUCAAGACAGCUGAGAGUGACAGUCUUAGGACACUUGGUUGCCAAAUCUACUCUAAGGACAUUAUUGAGGACAUAUUCCUCACGGUUUUAGCACGAGGAGUGACCACAUUUCUCAGAGCAGCUGUUCUUUACUUUGUGGACUCAGAACCAUGGUGCUGAGCAAGAUUCUCACAGUAGAUGCUGUAAUGGCCCUCAAGAUCCUCUGUACCGGGUCCAGAGCUCCCACUGGUUGCUGUGACUAUUGCCUCCUGGUGGCUCCCAGCUGCCCGCUUCUCCCAGGAAGAUGUACCUUCUGCUGACCUGACUGCUUUGCCCUGGGGCCACAACCCUUCUAAAGGCAGCCCACGGUCAGUGACUGAUUUGCAGCGUGAGGUACAAAAGACCCGUUGCCUAAAUGGAGAAACGACGAUGGACUCUAGCUUCAGAGCCGCCUCCUCUGAGUUUGUUUUCUAGAGGCUGGUCUUGAACUAAAACCUCGUUUGGCUCUUUGUCUUUCUCUCUUCUAUUUCAGACCCUCUUUUACAGGCUUUUUCAGAAGGCCAUACAUUGUAUUAACUUACUAUGGUUUAGACAGGGUUUGAGCGUAUACCCAAGAGGUUCAUAUGCUAGGAGGUUGGUCCUCAGUGUGGCAAUGUGGGGUUGUGGGGAGUGCCUAGAGAGAGGUCACAAGACCGGUGCCUUCCCAAAUAAGAAGCUCUUUCUUCUUAUCUCUCCUUGUGCACUCUCCUCUUACAUGCACUCUGGCCACUGUGAUGACAUCUGCACUGAGGCCUUCACCAGAGCUGAGCAAAAGUGGGCUGCACAUCUUGGAACCUCGAGAACUGUGACCUAAAUAAACUUCUUGGAAAUAAAGAAUCCAGCUUCAGGUCACGCAAGAAGCAAGUUGGGUCUAGACCUUGAACUUUGCUAUUCAGCAUGGCUGCUGGGACUGACGAGUCUCUUGGGCUUGAAGUUAAUCAAAUGAUGAUUAAGGUUGGUUGCUGAGGUGCUUAGAAAGUGGACACAGCUACUCCAGACUCUUCCAGCUUCAUCCCCCACAUCUGGAGCUGCUGGAAUUGUUCUGGAAGAUAAAUCUGAAGUGAAG